GUAAUAGGCCCAAUUUUCCUGGCCCGCUAUUGAAAUAAAUAAUAAAAAAAACAAAUAAAAUAAUAGUCCAAAUAACAAAAAAAAUUCACCAAACCCAAUUUGCCUAGACCCUAGACCAAACCUAAACCUGAUUCUUAGCCCAGCAAACCAACUCAGCCCAAAUGGCCCAACACCAGAAUGCACAACAGCAAAUCCUAGCAGCAUUCAGCCUCCAACGCCGCAGCCACGCCUCCGAGUCACUCCACGCCAGCCUAUGCCUCAGUACGCAUUGAGCCACGUCACGCAUACCCGUCCCUGCAGCAAAUAACAAGACAACAUCAAAAGAAGAAGAAAAAAAAGCAAAAAAACGAUAACAACAAAAGAAAAAAAGGAAAAAAGAGGGUUUAUUUUUUAUUUUUCGGGCUAUAAGAGCCUUAUUUUCUCAUGUACUCAAGGGGGGAGACUGUAUUAAAAAAAAAAAAGAAAUCAAUACAAAAAAGGUUUUCUUUUUUCCUCUUUUCGGUUCUAUUCCUUUUCCGAUUGCUUUUUCUCUUUUUUUUUGUUUGUUAGUAAUAACAUAUUUAAGCAUAUAUAUAAAAUAAAAAGGGAGGAGAGUUCAAAAACUUAUAUAAAAUAAAAAGGGAGGAGAGUUCAAAAACUUUACCUGGAUCGGUGAGUCGCCGAAUCCCUCCUCCGUUCAAGCCAAGAUUGAAUAGGUGAGGGGGGGUUUCGACACUGAAGCGGCGCCAGGAGUUUAGUUUUCUUUUAGGUUUUUUU
This 756-nucleotide long non-coding RNA is filed under the name Gossypium barbadense (sea-island cotton). RNAcentral's name for it is "long non-coding RNA (GBAR_LNC017393)". Lineage: Eukaryota; Viridiplantae; Streptophyta; Magnoliopsida; Malvales; Malvaceae. The record is from RNAcentral.